GACGAACGCUGGCGGCGUGCUUAACACAUGCAAGUCGAACGGAAAGGCCCUGCUUUUGUGGGGUGCUCGAGUGGCGAACGGGUGAGUAACACGUGAGUAACCUGCCCUUGACUUUGGGAUAACUUCAAGAAACUGGGGCUAAUACCGGAUAGGAGCUCCUGCUGCAUGGUGGGGGUUGGAAAGUUUCGGCGGUUGGGGAUGGACUCGCGGCUUAUCAGCUUGUUGGUGGGGUAGUGGCUUACCAAGGCUUUGACGGGUAGCCGGCCUGAGAGGGUGACCGGCCACAUUGGGACUGAGAUACGGCCCAGACUCCUACGGGAGGCAGCAGUGGGGAAUAUUGCACAAUGGGCGGAAGCCUGAUGCAUCAACGCCGCGUGCGGGAUGACCGCCCUUGGGGUUUUAAAACCGAUUCUGCCUAGGAAGAAAGUGAGGUUGCCAGGAAUGGGGAAAGAAGCCACGGGCUAACUAUGGUGCAAGCACGCCGCGGUGAUUACUAGAGGUAGAGGGGGUUUCCAGAAUUUAUGGAGACUAAAGGGCUUUGUAGGUGGUUAAUCGGGUUGGAAGAUUAAUCGUGGGGGCUAACCCCGGGGGGGGCUUUCCAUAAGGGGUUAUCUUAGGGAAGGCAGGAGUAAAAUGGAUUUCCUUGUGGAGCGUGUGAAAUGUGCAGAUUUCAGGAGGAACACCUGUGGCGAAGGGGGUUUUCUGGCCUUUUCCGAAGUUAAGAGAGCAAUAACCGUGGAGAGCGAACAGUCUUAGAGUCCAUGGUAGUUCCCCGGGUAAAACAGUGGGUACUAGGUGUGGGGUUCAUUCCACGGGUUCUGUGCCGUAGCUAACGCUUCUAAGAACCCGCCCUGGGGAGUUGGGCCGCAAGGCUAAAACUCAAAGGAAUUGGCGGGGCCCCGCACAAGCGGCGGAGCAUGCGGAUCAAUUCGAUGCAAUGCGUAGAACCUUACCUGGGUUUGACAUGGAUCGGGAGUGCUCAGAGACGGGUGUACCUCUUUCGGGGUCGGUUCACAGGUGGUGCAUGGCUGUGGUCAGCUCGUGUCGUGAGAUGUUGGGUUAAGUCCCGCAACGAGCGCAACCCUUGUUCACUGUUGCCAGCACGUUAUGGUGGGGACUCAGUGGAGACCGCCGGGGUCAACUCGCAGGAAGGAGGGGAUGACGUCAAGUCAUCAUGCCCCUUAUGUCCAGGGCUUCACGCAUGCGACAAUGGCUGGUACAGAGAGUGGCGAGCCUGUGAGGGUGAGCGAAUCUCGGAAAGCCGGUCUCAGUUCGGAUUGGGGUCUGCAACUCGACCUCAUGAAGUCGGAGUCGCUAGUAAUCGCAGAUCAGCAACGCUGCGGUGAAUACGUUCCCGGGGCU
This 1362-nucleotide ribosomal RNA is filed under the name uncultured bacterium. Its description in RNAcentral is "bacterial SSU rRNA". It matches the Rfam family "Bacterial small subunit ribosomal RNA", at positions 28 to 1381 of the family's 1533-position model. The record is from RNAcentral.